Molecule: ribosomal RNA, 520 nt
Filed under: uncultured Glomus
Lineage: Eukaryota; Fungi; Glomeromycota; Glomeromycetes; Glomerales; Glomeraceae
Description: SSU rRNA
Rfam family: Eukaryotic small subunit ribosomal RNA
Source: RNAcentral
AGCAGCCGCGGUAAUUCCAGCUCCAAUAGCGUAUAUUAAAGUUGUUGCAGUUAAAAAAGCUCGUAGUUGAAUUUCGGGAUCAAUAUGUCUGUCGUGCCUUUGGUACGUACGGGUAUAAUUGGUUUCUACCUUCUGAUGAACCUUGAUGCCAUUAAUUUGGUGUCUUGGGGGACUCAGGACUGUUACCUUGAAAAAAUUAGAGUGUUUAAAGCAGGCAUACGCUUGAAUACAUUAGCAUGGAAUAAUGGAAUAGGACGUUCGAUUCUAUUUUGUUGGUUUCUAGGAUCGACGUAAUGAUUAAUAGGGAUAGUUGGGGGCAUUAGUAUUCAAUUGUCAGAGGUGAAAUUCUUGGAUUUUAUUGAAGACUAACUACUGCGAAAGCAUUUGCCAAGGAUGUUUUCAUUAAUCAAGAACGAAAGUUAGGGGAUCGAAGACGAUCAGAUACCGUCGUAGUCUUAACCAUAAACUAUGCCGACUAGGGAUCGGAUGAUGUUAAUUUUUUAAUGACUCAUUCGGCGCC